Caenorhabditis elegans is the source of this 212-nucleotide non-coding RNA. The record is from Ensembl. NCBI's taxonomy places the organism in Eukaryota, Metazoa, Nematoda, Chromadorea, Rhabditida, Rhabditidae.
CAAAAAGAGACGCAGACAGUGGACGGGUCUCGCAGCGACAAGAUGUUGGCACGCUGCCAAACAUGCAGUGAUUCUUUUUUAUUCGAAUUUGGCUGCAUUUAUUUUCGAUUUAACCUGAAUUUUACAUGUUUUAUCUGAUUUUUAUCGAUUUUAAACGAAAUUUCGAUAAAAAUCUAACUUUUUCUAAUAGUUUAUGCCUUUUCGAUAGAUUU